GGGAUCCCGUGUCCGACACCUGGCACCAUCUCGCCGGUCUAAUAAUGGGGCAGCUGUGGGGUCUCACCAUGGUGACGCUGGGGCUCCAUUCCAUGCCGUGGGGGCAGCUUGUGGGGCAGCAGCAGGAAGGAGCUGAGGUAUGAGUUGGCGAGUACGGGCACCGGGGGGAGGCCGGAGGAGAAGAAAUCUGAACCUGGGACGGGAACUGCAUGAAUGGGGGGGGGAAGUAUGAAUGAAAUGGGUCGGCUAGAGUUCAUUGGACUGGGGAGGAACAAUGGGGUGGUAUGGGGGGAUAUGGGGUGGUUAUGGGGCAGCUAUGGGGUGGUUAUGGGAUUGUUAUGGGGUCACUAUGGGGCAGUUAUGGGGCAGUUAUGGGGCAGUUAUAGGGCAGUUAUGGGGCAGUUAUGGGGUUGAUCACCUGGUAAUGGUGCCUCAGUGUUGAGUUGUGGGUCUGGCCGGGGGUGAAGCUGAGAUAUGGGGUGGAGUCCUCCAGCCUAGGGGGGGAGAAAUGGGGGUCCUUAUAGGGUCCCCAUGGGGGUCCCCUAUAGGGUCACUGUGGGUCCCUAUGGGGUCGUUAUGGGUCUCUAUGGGGUCACUAUGGGUCUCUAUGUGUCCCUAUGGGGUCCCUAUGGGUCCCUAUGGGUCCCUGUGUGUCCCUCUGGGGUCCCUAUGGGUCCCUAUGGGUCCCUAUGGGUCCCUAUGUGUUUCUAUGUGUCCCUAUGGGUCCCUAUGUGUCCCUAUGGGUCCCUAUGUGUCUCUAUAGGUCCCUAAAUGUCCCCAUGGGUCCCUAUGUGUCCCUAUGGGGUCACUAUGUCUCUCUUUGUCUCUCUAUGUGUCCCUAUGGGUCCCUAUGAGUCUCUAUGGAGUCUCUAUGGGGUCACUAUGGGUCUCUAUGGGUCCCUAUGUGUCCCUAUGUGUCCCUAUAUGUUCCUAUGGGGUCACUAUGUAUCUCUAUGUGUCCCUAUGUCUCUCUAUGGGGUCUCUAUGGGUCUCUAUGGGUCUCUACGGGGUCUCUAUGGGUCUCUAUGGGGUCUCUAUGGGUCUCUAUGGGGUCUCUAUGGGCCUCUAUGGGUCUCUAUGGGUCUCUAUGGGUCUCUAUGGGUCCCUAUGGGGUCCCUAUGAGUCUCUAUGGAGUCUCUAUGGGGUCACUAUGGGUCUCUGUGGGUCCCUAUGUGUCCCUAUGUGUCCCUAUGGGGUCCCUAUGUGUCCCUAUAUGUCCCUAUAGGGUCUCUAUGUAUCUCUAUGGGUCCCUAUGUGUCCCUAUGUGUCCCUAUGGGGUCCCUAUGUGUUCCUAUGGGGUCUCUAUGUAUCCCUAUGUAUCUGUAUAUGUCCCUAUGUGUCCGUAUGUAUCUCUAUGGGGUCUCUAUGGGGUCUGUAUGGGGUCCCUAUAUUUCCCUAUGUCCCCCUAUGGGGUCCCUAUGGGGUCACUAUGUGUCUCUAUAUGUCCUUAUGUGUCCCUAUGUUUCCCUAUGUAUCUCUAUGUGUCCCUAUGUGUCCCUAUGGGUCUCUAUGUAUCCCUAUGGGGUCCCUAUAUGUCCCUAUGUGUCUCUAUAUGUCCCUAUGUGUCCCUAUGUGUCCCUAUGGAUCUCUAUGGGGUCCCUAUGUAUCUCUAUGUGUCCCCAUGUCCCCCUAUGGGGUCUCUAUGGGGUCCCUAUGAUGUGUCCCUAUAUGUCUCUCUAUGGUCCCUAUGUGUCCCUUGUGUCCCUAUGGGGUCCCUUGUCUCUAUGGGGUCUCUAUGUAUCUCUAUGUCCCCCUAUGCCCCCCUAUGGGGUCUCUAUGGGGUCCCUAUAGAUCCCUAUGUCCCCCCAUGUCCCCCUAUGUCCCUCUAUGUCUGUGCUCACCACGUGACCGCGGCUCCCACCCGGUACCGCACGGGGGCGCUCCAGAGCAGCGAGUUGUCGGACACCGUGAGACGGGAUUCAGUGGGGCUGGAACGGGGAGAAACGGGGGUUACGGCCCCAUAGGGACACAUAGGGACACAUAGAGACACAUAGAGACACAUAGGGACCCAUAGAGACACAUAGGGACACAUAGGGACCCAUAGAGACACAUAGAGACCCAUAGAGACACAUAGGGACCCAUAGGGACACAUAGGGACCCAUAGAGACCCAUAGAGACACAUAGAGACCCAUAGGGACACAUAGGGACCCAUAGGGACACAUAGGGACACAUAGAGACACAUAGAGACACAUAGGGACACAUAGGGACACAUAGGGACCCCAUAACCACCCCAUAUCCCCCAUAACCUCCCAUAUGACCCCAUAUCCCCCCAUAACCACCCCACA
RNAcentral lists this long non-coding RNA (2285 nucleotides) under Coturnix japonica (Japanese quail). RNAcentral's name for it is "lncRNA (ENSCJPG00005005937.1)". The record is from RNAcentral. Lineage: Eukaryota; Metazoa; Chordata; Aves; Galliformes; Phasianidae.